GCAGCCAUCCUGGAAGAAUAGUUCUUAAAUGGAGCAAGCUCAUCCUCUGAUGCCAGCAUUUCUUUAGUUAGCAAAUUUGGAAACAUUUCCAUGAGUGGGGCCAUAUAUUUUUCGGCAUUGUAUAUCUUUCCGGAUGCUAAAUAUAUAUGUGUGUUUUUAUCAAAACCCAUUCCCCUGAGCAUCAGGCCUACCUCUAAAGGAGUAAGAGGGCACUUCCCAUUGAGCCUGAUUGCUCCAGGACGAAUGGUACGGCCAGGCUUUGUAAAUUUCCCUUUCCAACCUCUUUCUCUUGCUGCUAUCAUGUCUUUUUCUUCUUGCUUUCCACCAUCAAAUACACAGCA
This 341-nucleotide unclassified non-coding RNA is filed under the name Hevea brasiliensis (rubber tree). The record is from RNAcentral. Lineage: Eukaryota; Viridiplantae; Streptophyta; Magnoliopsida; Malpighiales; Euphorbiaceae.